UUUCCCUAUUAAAAAGAGAAAGUAGUUGAGCUGCUAACUUGACUGAUAGCGUUGUUGUUAUUC
RNAcentral lists this transfer RNA (63 nucleotides) under Centruroides vittatus. RNAcentral's name for it is "tRNA-Ser". Lineage: Eukaryota; Metazoa; Arthropoda; Arachnida; Scorpiones; Buthidae. The record is from RNAcentral.